GAUAAUUUCAAAUCCUAAUUUAUUUAAAGUAUAUUUUUUUUUACACCGACUUUUCCUUAAUAAUAUUCGAUUUCGAAUGGCAUUAUUACAAAGCGGUCGAUUCGAGUGGAUCACGGUUAUAGAUUCGAGCCGCUCGAAGCGAUGAGCCGGUGGCGCAGGCGAAGCCCGCGAAGCAAACCCCUGUUCCUCCUCUCCGUCGCCGUUCUUUUCCUCUUCGCCCUCUUCCUCGCCUUCCGCCUCUCCUCGCCCUCCGAUCUACUACGAUCCCUCGUCGCUUCAUCCUCUCCCGCCGCUUCCUCCACCGCAACCCUUGCUCCCGCCCGAUCGCACCAAUGCGGCGUCUCUCCCUUCGGAGAGCGGUUCCUAUGGUACGCCCCCCACAGCGGGUUCAGCAAUCAGCUGUCGGAGCUCAAGAACGCUAUCCUCUUCGCCGCCAUCCUCAACCGUACCCUCAUCGUGCCUCCCGUGCUCGACCACCACGCCGUCGCCCUAGGUAGCUGCCCCAAAUUCAGGGUGACCAGCCCGACGGAGCUCCGCACGAGGGUUUUUGAUCACAUCAUGGAUCUGGUUCGGGAUCGGAGGUAUGUGUCAAUGGGUGACAUAAUUGAUUUAUCAAGAUUGCCAUCAUCUGUGGUUAGAACAGUAGAUUUUAGGAUAUUUUUGUCAACAUGGUGUGGAUUAAACAUGGAGCGUGCUUGUUCUGGCAACUUAUGCUGCACCAUUUCUGCCGACAGAGCUAUAACUGGCAAUUUUGACCAGUGCAGAUCAUUGUUUUCUGGUAUGCAGGGUAAGGAUAACCAGUGUGUGUAUGCCGUAGAAGAUGACUGUAGGACAACAGUUUGGACAUAUCGUGAGAGCAACGGAGAAAUAUUGGAUUCAUUCCAACCUGACAGGGAGUUACUAAUCAAGAAGAAAUUUUCAUAUGUCAGGAAGCGGAGAGAUAUAAGUAAAGCUCUCGGACCUGGGUCAGAAGCUGAAAUGUCCAAACUGCUGGCUUUUGGCACACUUUUCUCAGCACCUUACAAAGGUUCAGAGCUGUAUAUUGAUAUUCAUGAAGUACAAGGAAAAAAUCAUGUACAAUCUCUGCUCAAGGAAAUUGAGUACCUUCCAUUUACCCCAGAAAUCAUGGCUACUGGUAGGAAGUUUGCUCUGAACAGUAUUAAGCAGCCUUUUAUGUGUGCCCAGCUUAGGUUGUUGGAUGGGCAGUUUAAGAACCAUUGGAAGACUACUUUUUCAGCUGUUGAGCAGAAGCUGAAAUCCAUAGGUUUGAAACCUACUGACAAUAUGAGCAAUGAUCCAAUUCAUAUUUUUCUGAUGACAGAUCUACCUACUGUUAACUGGACUGACACUUACUUAGACGACCUUGCAAAAGAUGCUUCAUAUCAACUGCAUGUUUUGGAUGAAGGUUCUCAAUUGGUUGUAGAGGCUGGCAAAAGACUAAUGGCAUCAGAACAUGGCAUCAGGUCUAGUUUCCUUCCAAGAAAUUAUGAUGGAUUUAAUAAGAAGAAGCGUUGUGACCCAGUGUUCACACCAGAUAUUCUUUUAUAUGUACAAGAAUCAGUUUGUUGCUGUGCAUCAUUAGGAUUUGUGGGCACUCCAGGUUCAACUAUAGCAGACAACAUUGAGCUAAUGAUGAAGUACAAUGCCUGCAAAUCAUAGAAGUUUUUCUUCAUCAUUCUUUUAAUGAGAGAAGUUUCUCAUAAUUGAUUCCAGAGCAAACUUUGAAGAAGUAUCUGGACGUAAUCAUUCCUGAAGAGAAGCUGGAAAGAUAUAAUAUACUUGAAGCAGUAACCCAAAGUAAUUAGAAGUUGGGAUGCUUUUUUAUGGAUCAUUUUAACAUCCUGGAUAAAACUUCCUGCAAGGUGGAAGGGUCAAUUAUUUGAAGAGGAGAUGAACCAGAUGCAACCUAUUCAGCAGUAAUUUUCUCAUGGACAGGUAACUUUCUGGAAACUUAUUAACUUCAUUGUUUCUAUGCGUUUAACAUACUUGUUUGCAGAAAUAUGUACUCUUUAGAUUGGUAGACAUCAUAUUGUUUUUAGAACUUUAGGUCUUUUAAUACUAAAAUACGCACAAAAGCCAUACUAGUAUUCCUUUCAAACAUAUUACUUAGGGUACAUCUCGUUGUCUUCUUCUUGACCACUGACAAGAAAAAGUUUAAACUAAUUAAUUAAAUAAAUCUAGAUCACCCAGCAUAAUUGGAUCAUUUGUUGAUCAAUUAAUAAAUGAAUUCAUGCAAUAGUUUAAAGGCACUAUAAUGAGUUCUGUUAGGUGGCAAAGCGUAAUAAAUCGAGUCGUUGUCAAAUGACUCAACCAUACCCCAUCAGAUUUAUAAUUUGGUGUGCCAGAUCUUGGUCAAAUAUCAUGCUAAACUAGUCAAAGGAUCGUAUAGCAUAAUUGACUUAAAUUUCAUAUUUGUAUAGUGGAAAUAUAUUUAGGAAAAUCAAAUGAUAAUAACAUGAUGUUAUAAUUUGAAUAUAUUUCAUGUCUGGUAGCUUUUUAAUCCUUGUCGAAGAAUUAUUUAGUAAUUAUUCAUCCUUCCUCGUGAAACUUAUUACACAUUUUUAAUUAUAUUUUGUCAUAUAAGUAUAAAAUGAGUAGUUAUUUAUCGAUGAAAAUUUCCCCAUUUUACUGUCGCCCACCGCAUGAG
Molecule: RNA transcript, 2647 nt
Organism: Zingiber officinale
Lineage: Eukaryota; Viridiplantae; Streptophyta; Magnoliopsida; Zingiberales; Zingiberaceae
Gene name: O-fucosyltransferase 30-like
Exons: 3
Source: RefSeq, a predicted model, not a curated record